UAGUCCACGCCGUAAACGAUGCAUACUCGCUGUAGGCAAGUUAUAUUGUCUGUGGCCAAGCGAAAGUAAUAAGUAUGCCACCUGGGGAGUACGUCGGCAACGAUGAAACUCAAAGGAAUUGACGGGGGCCCGCACAAGCGGAGGAACAUGUGGUUUAAUUCGAUGAUACGCGAGGAACCUUACCUGGGCUUAAAUGUACGUUGCAUGAAUCAGAGAUGAUUCUUUCUUCGGACUACGUACAAGGUGCUGCAUGGUUGUCGUCAGCUCGUGCCGUGAGGUGUCGGGUUAAGUCCCAUAACGAGCGCAACCCCUAUCGUUAGUUACCAUCAGGUCAUGCUGGGGACUCUAGCGAGACUGCCGGUGUAAACCGUGAGGAAGGUGGGGAUGACGUCAAAUCAGCACGGCCCUUACGUCCAGGGCUACACACGUGUUACAAUGGCCGGUACAGAGGGCAGCCACAUAGCAAUAUGAUGCGAAUCUCGAAAGCCGGUCCCAGUUCGGAUUGG
This 506-nucleotide ribosomal RNA is filed under the name uncultured bacterium. Its description in RNAcentral is "bacterial SSU rRNA". It matches the Rfam family "Bacterial small subunit ribosomal RNA", at positions 791 to 1301 of the family's 1533-position model. The record is from RNAcentral.